AUUGAACGCUGGCGGCAUGCCUUACACAUGCAAGUCGAACGGUAACAGGUCUUCGGAUGCUGACGAGUGGCGAACGGGUGAGUAAUACAUCGGAACGUGCCUAGUAGUGGGGGAUAACUACUCGAAAGAGUGGCUAAUACCGCAUGAGAUCUACGGAUGAAAGCAGGGGAUCGCAAGACCUUGUGCUACUAGAGCGGCCGAUGGCAGAUUAGGUAGUUGGUGGGAUAAAAGCUUACCAAGCCGACGAUCUGUAGCUGGUCUGAGAGGACGAUCAGCCGCACGGGGACUGGGACACGGCCCGGACUCCUACGGGAGGCAGCAGUGGGGAAUUUUGAACAAUGGGCGCAAGCCUGAUCCAGCAAUGCCGCGUGCAGGAUGAAGGCCUUCGGGUUGUAAACUGCUUUUGUACGGAACGAAAAGCCCCGGGUUAAUACCCUGGGGUCAUGACGGUACCGUAAGAAUAAGCACCGGCUAACUACGUGCCAGCCGCCGCCGUAA
Molecule: ribosomal RNA, 498 nt
Filed under: uncultured bacterium
Lineage: Bacteria
Description: partial 16S ribosomal RNA
Rfam family: Bacterial small subunit ribosomal RNA
Source: RNAcentral